This is a long non-coding RNA of Alosa sapidissima (American shad), 2042 nucleotides long. RefSeq lists it as uncharacterized. The transcript is spliced from 2 exons. Lineage: Eukaryota; Metazoa; Chordata; Actinopteri; Clupeiformes; Clupeidae. The record is from RefSeq and is a predicted model, not a curated record.
UUACAUAAAGACUUUAUUUAGACAAAACUUCUGGCACAUUAAUUCAUACUUGAAUACAUCUGAAACAAAGUAUUCAAUUCAUCCUACACUUCACAAUAAAUACUGAGCGUUUACGCGGAGUAUGUGAUUUGCAUCUGGCCACCUAUCUCAUCUUUAAUCACAGUCAUGUAAUGACAAAACCACAACAUUCGGUAACUCUCGUCCAGUACCGAACACAACCGAAAUAGCAGGACGUACGACUGCGACUGCGUCAUUUGGUUCGGUCUACAGAACAGUAAAGAUUGGCAAGAUGGAUGUCUUACUUUCUCAACCCAAAUAUGACAGUGAUCACAUCGAUCCAAGUAAAGGUUGCUUUUUUUAUUUCACAAAAUCCGUCUCCUGAAUUUCCAAGCUAAGCCACAUCACCAAACAUCCCGGAAACAAAACGUACUGAGCAACGAUUGGACUACACCGUGCUGCGCAACAGCAAUGGGCCGUAUGCAAAUUCCAAUACUCGACAUGACACGACAGUGAUCCUGAGAGUGUGUGGUUCAGUGUUGUGGUAGAGUGGCUUUGCAGCAUUGUCCAAGCAUGAUCUCAAUAGAUGAAUGAAAAUUCAAACACUUAUGGUCAUUCACGCCGUGGUGUUUCAGCAUGGUACAACAAAGAGCUAAGGGACUUGACGUCAGGGUCAAUCUGAUCGUCAACUACGGCAGGCAACUGGGCCGCAGUCUGUUGCUUCUUGCCCACUACACCACACUUUUUGCACAGUUCCUGUCAAGCUCAGUGAGGUGUAUGGUAGAGGUUGCAAGGUGGACCUCACUGUUUGCUCGGGGCACAACAACUGUGUUCGGGUCCAUUUACAGACAACUGAACAGGUUGGGGAGGAGGACAGUCGAACCCCCAGUGCCACAGCGGUCAUCUUCGUCAGUGGCUCGCAGCGUCAGUGAUCAUGAGGUUGAGAGAUGAGGAAAGCAGCGCUCAGUGUUGGUCGUUUCAACUCUAUCCACAGUGAAUCAGAAAAGCCUUAUGGGAAUUGUUAUAUUGGUUUCAUUUUUUUUAUGUGUGUGUGUUGGGGGGGGGGUAUUUUAGGUGCAUCAGGUCACCUUUGUACCAAACAAUAGUGUUCAAAAUGAUGGACAAGUGAGAAAUCUGAACAGGCCAGCCUGCACUAGGUUACUAAUAUAUUGUUGCAUCAUAUCUAUAUGUUUUAUAUUUCAUAUACAAUAUGUCCAUGUAUUUUUGUAUGUAGGCUAGCCUUCAUACUCUAACCACUAAAAUCACAUUAGCCUAUACUAAGAUAGCAGAGCUAUACACCACCCUUUUAUGUCCAGAACCAUUAAUUAUAUUAUUGGUCAAUCCAGAAAGGGGCAUUGGAGCUCUCUGUCUUCUACUGUACAAUCCAAGGCAAGUAUGACAGGCUACUUAUCCAAGGGGUCAAAACAUUCGCCUACUUUUGAGUCGUGAUUCAUGUAGCACUGAUUAUCAGAAAUGAAUGUACAAUUGUGAUAGAGCCAGUUGAAAAACAAAGAAGUAUUUUCUAUAUUCAAAUAUUCAGCACUAUACCACUCACUAAUUUGCUCCAGGUUAUUAUCUAUUUAAAGUUUGGUUGUUUUGUUACUUUUUGUUGGUUUGGUGCUAUAGGUUUAUGUAAGCGAGUCAGGAUUGUUUAAAGUUUAAUGAGAUCAUGGCUACAAGUACUGAAACAACCCAAUGUAUAUGAUAUGACAUUACAUUUUGUAUUACCAUUAUUUUUUUUCGUAUAAAAGUUUCAUUUAUGUUACUCACUUUUAUAACAUGCCAGUAUAUGUUGAAACAAAUGUAUGCUACAUUGUACUGAUCACUAAAUAAGUCAGAAAUCUUUUUAUCAGAUGUAUGGGAAGUUUACAUUUUCCUAUAACUGUUCUACACUGAAUGUUUAAAUACUGUAUUUUAGACACCUGUGAUAUCCACAUACAGAUAUGUUAAAGUAGCUUGAAUAUAUUACAACAUUAAAAAGGCCUCUAUUAAUUGCAGUGUAUGGUUUUGAAUUUGACUUGUCAAAUAAACUCAUCUUAAAAACA